Long non-coding RNA from Lepus europaeus (European hare), 1102 nucleotides. RefSeq lists it as uncharacterized. The transcript is spliced from 3 exons. The record is from RefSeq and is a predicted model, not a curated record. Lineage: Eukaryota; Metazoa; Chordata; Mammalia; Lagomorpha; Leporidae.
CGCUCGCUGACCCGCGCGGGGCUUGGAAUGAGAGGCUCGGCGAAGUGAGCGCCCUGCCCAUCCACCUCGUCCGCUUCCCCCCGUGACGCUCUCACGCUUAGCUGUUCAUGUUACCAUUCUUCUCCGGCCAAGGAACGAGCCCUGAGACGCCUCCACAGCACCUGAGGGGCAGUACCGUCAAUCUCCCGCGCACGUACGGGGCACGGAGGGCGGCGACACCGAAGUCCGUGCCCGGCUCGGCAAGUGGCUGAGGACGCCCGGAGGACGAGCGGAAGCAUUUUUGGACAAAUUGGGGACUAAGAACAUCUGGAAGCAGAAAAAUUGGAGAUAAGAACAAAAGAAGAGGGAAAAGAAAAAAUGGAAGUUGAAAGAGAUACUUUGAAAAACCUGUGUCCUGCUACAUGAUAAUCUUGACUUAUAGGAAAUUCCAUUUCUAGAACAAAGAAGGAAUGGAAUCUUUGAUGGUGGCGACCUCCUCACAAACAUCUCCUCUAUGCCUCUUCAGAAGAUGAAAAAGGGAAACACAAAGCUCAGCUCCUACUUACUGGAUGUGAAGUGCCGGGAUGCUCUAAAAUUACCUUUGCCUUACUCCUGCACAGUCAGCUGUGUGUAUGUGUUCACUGCUCCCCUGUCCUCGCCAGACUGCAGGAGAAAAAGCACCGUUGACAGAAGCACCUGUAUCACGAUGAGUGGGCAACCACACCGACAAACAUAUUUGGUAUAAAAAAGGAAGGAAUGGAAAAGACAAGAAAAUAUAUUGCACAACCUCGCAUUUUUCUUUCUUGUCCUCCAUCUGAUCUUCAGAGAAUCACUUCCACUCUUAUUUUGGGAAAUACGUCCAUCCAGUUGUCACUGACCUCUGUACAGGGACAUUAGGCCACAGUUAAAUGAUCCAUAUGUGGACACUCUUCGUGUUCUCCAAUCAGACAGGAACAUUUAGGGAACAAGACGUAACUAUGUCUAUUUACUGCCAAAUUCAGAUUUGUGGACUGGAGGCAAAUACAUCUGAUGAGCUACGUGAGAGUAAAUUGGAAGAAAGGAGAGUAAGAAAAAAUAAUUUUGAUAACAGUUGAUUCCCUGAUUUCAAUUCUUCCAGAGACAU